AGAGUUUGAUCCUGGCUCAGAACGAACGCUGGCGGCAUGGAUUAGGCAUGCAAGUCGAACGCCUGUAUUUAUACAGGAGUGGCGAAAGGGUGAGUAACGAGUGAGUAACGUGCCCUAAGGCUGGGGAUAACUUCUGGAAACGGAAGCUAACACCGAAUGUGGAUAUAUUUUCGCAUGUGAAUAUAUCUAAAAAUUUAUUGCCUUAGGAUCGGCUCGCUUUCCAUUAGCUAGUUGGUGAGGUAACUGCUCACCAAGGCUACGAUGGAUAGGUGGUCUGAGAGGAUGGUCACCCACACUGGGACUGAGAUACUGCCCAGACUCCUACGGGAGGCUGCAGUCGAGAAUCUUCCGCAAUGCGCGAAAGCGUGACGGAGCAAUGCCGCGUGCCGGAUGAAGGUCUUCGGAUUGUAAACGGCUGUCACUGGGAACGAAACAAAUGACGGUACCCAGAGAGGAAGCCACGGCUAACUACGUGCCAGCAGCCGCGGUAAUACGUAGGUGGCGAGCGUUGUUCGGAAUUAUUGGGCGUAAAGGGUCCGCAGGUGGCUUGUUAAGUCUGACGUGAAAUCUCACCGCUCAACGGUGAAACUGCGUUGGAAACUAGCGAGCUAGAGUAUUGGAGAGGUAAUUGGAAUUCCGGGUGUAGCGGUGGAAUGCGUAGAUAUCCGGAGGAACACCAAGAGCGUAGGCAGAUUACUGGACAAUAACUGACACUCAGGGACGAAAGCAUGGGGAGCAAACAGGAUUAGAUACCCUGGUAGUCCAUGCCGUAAACGGUGCAAACUAGAUGUUGCGAGACUUUAACCUCGCGGUGUCCAAGCUAACGCGUUAAGUUUGCCGCUGGGAACUACGGCCGCAAGGCUAAAACUCAAAGGAAUUGACGGGGGCCCGCACAAGCGGUGGAGCAUGUGGCUUAAUUCGAGGCAACGCGAAGAACCUUACCUAGAUUUGACAUAUAUGGGACCGUCUAUGAAAGUAGACUUCUCUUCGGAGCCCAUAAACAGGUGCUGCAUGGCUGUCGUCAGCUCGUGCUGUGAAGUGUUCGGUUAAGUCCGGCAACGAGCGCAACCCACGUGACUAUUUGCCAACAGGUAAUGCUGGGAACUCUAGUCAGACUGCCCGUGUUAAACGGGAGGAAGGCGUGGAUGACGUCAAGUCAGUAUGGCCUUUAUAUCUAGGGCUGCACACGUGCUACAAUGGCCAGUACAAUGGGACGCAAUACUGUAAAGUGGAGCAAAUCCUCAAAACUGGUCUUAGUUCGGAUUGAGGUCUGCAACUCGACCUCAUGAAGCCGGAAUCGCUAGUAAAGGCGUAUCAGCUACGACGCCUUGAAUACGUUCCCGGGCCUUGUACACACCGCCCGUCACAUCAUGCGAGCUGACUGCACCCGAAGCCGUUCACCCAACCAUUUAUGGAGGGAGACGUCUAAGUUCGGAUGGUGACUAGGAUGAAGUCGUAACAAGGUA
Molecule: ribosomal RNA, 1466 nt
Filed under: uncultured bacterium
Lineage: Bacteria
Description: bacterial SSU rRNA
Rfam family: Bacterial small subunit ribosomal RNA
Source: RNAcentral